Myodes glareolus (Bank vole) is the source of this 835-nucleotide non-coding RNA. NCBI's taxonomy places the organism in Eukaryota, Metazoa, Chordata, Mammalia, Rodentia, Cricetidae. The record is from RefSeq and is a predicted model, not a curated record.
CUUGUGACAUGGCCCCUGGCCAGGCUAGCCACUUAGCUUACGUGGGGGAGGCGGUUGAAGAAAGCAGCCCCCAUGUUGGCCUCCACCCUGUAUUCAGCCUCUGUAUUUAGCAGGGAGGAAACAGACACUCAGAGACUCCGAGGUCCUCCUAAGGUCACAAGACGGUUGGUAGUGGCACCAGGAUCUAAGGCACCAUAUGGAACACGGGAAGUAUAACAGGAGAGAGACGAAGAUGAUACCAGAGACACACAGCUUUUCGGUACAGAAAGACGGGACGCUUCUGGAAAUCCCCAGGCUUUUCAGGAUCAUUUCCACAGGUGCAGAAACCUAAAAGAAAGACCUAUGAGAGCAUGUGUGACAGUGUGCUGGUGAUGGCCCGGUGGUUCUAGGAUCAGACUGAAGGGACCUGGCUUGAACAACACUGAGCCGUCUCACUAUGCCCAAGCUUUUGACGCUGCAAUCCAGCAUCAUCUGGGACACAGGCUAGCUAACCUGGACACAUGCGGCCCAUGCUCCCUCCUUUCGGCCUGCCUGAAUUCAACCACUGUCAAUACUGUGCUCUCCUUGUUACACAAUACGUAUGUCCCUGUAUUGCUCUGUAAGACACCAUCAUGUGUGCCCGUAAUUAAAGGCUUUGUCCAUCUCCCUAGAUAUUUUGACCUGUAUCACCAAAAAAUAGUAUUCUCCAACAUAAGCACAACGCCAGAAUCCCAUUCAAGGAACGUUGGCAGUGACCUCCUGCUGCUGUCUCUCCGUAGAGUCUGUGUUCCAUCAAAUAUCCCUCAAGGUUCUUUAUGGUGGUUUGAAUUCUUCCAGUCAGGCUCCAAUCUGGUGG